RNAcentral lists this ribosomal RNA (428 nucleotides) under uncultured bacterium. RNAcentral's name for it is "partial 16S ribosomal RNA". It matches the Rfam family "Bacterial small subunit ribosomal RNA", at positions 354 to 796 of the family's 1533-position model. The record is from RNAcentral.
GUGGGGAAUAUUGGGCAAUGGGCGAAAGCCUGACCCAGCAACGCCGCGUGAAGGAAGAAGGCUUUCGGGUUGUAAACUUCUUUUGUCAGGGACGAAAAAAAUGACGGUACCUGACGAAUAAGCCACGGCUAACUACGUGCCAGCAGCCGCGGUAAUACGUAGGUGGCAAGCGUUAUCCGGAUUUACUGGGUGUAAAGGGCGUGUAGGCGGGAAAGCAAGUCAGAUGUGAAAACUAUGGGCUCAACCCAUAGCCUGCAUUUGAAACUGUUUUUCUUGAGUACUGGAGAGGCAGAUGGAAUUCCUAGUGUAGCGGUGAAAUGCGUAGAUAUUAGGAGGAACACCAGUGGCGAAGGCGAUCUGCUGGACAGCAACUGACGCUGAGGCGCGAAAGCGUGGGGAGCAAACAGGAUUAGAUACCCUAGUAGUCC